Molecule: ribosomal RNA, 163 nt
Filed under: uncultured bacterium
Lineage: Bacteria
Description: partial 16S rRNA
Rfam family: Bacterial small subunit ribosomal RNA
Source: RNAcentral
UAGGGAAUCUUCCACAAUGGACGAAAGUCUGAUGGAGCAACGCCGCGUGAGUGAAGAAGGUUUUCGGAUCGUAAAGCUCUGUUGUUGGUGAAGAAGGAUAGAGGCAGUAACUGGUCUUUAUUUGACGGUAAUCAACCAGAAAGUCACGGCUAACUACGUGCCA